Molecule: ribosomal RNA, 251 nt
Filed under: uncultured bacterium
Lineage: Bacteria
Description: partial 16S ribosomal RNA
Rfam family: Bacterial small subunit ribosomal RNA
Source: RNAcentral
UACGUAGGGUGCAAGCGUUGUCCGGAAUUAUUGGGCGUAAAGAGCUCGUAGGCGGUUUGUUGCGUCGGCUGUGAAAUCCCGAGGCUCAACCUCGGGUCUGCAGUCGAUACGAGCAAACUAGAGUGUUGCAGGGGAGACUGGAAUCCUGGUGUAGCGGUGAAAUGCGCAGAUAUCAGGAGGAACACCGGUGGCGAAGGCGGGUCUCUGGGCAACAACUGACGCUGAGGAGCGAAAGCGUGGGAGCGAACAGG